UGAAGAUCCUACAGCAGAAGUGCAUGGC
Molecule: non-coding RNA, 28 nt
Filed under: Mus musculus (house mouse)
Lineage: Eukaryota; Metazoa; Chordata; Mammalia; Rodentia; Muridae
Source: RNAcentral